This is a long non-coding RNA of Salmo trutta (river trout), 1366 nucleotides long. Lineage: Eukaryota; Metazoa; Chordata; Actinopteri; Salmoniformes; Salmonidae. The record is from Ensembl.
CUAUUGAUAUAUCAUUUUGAUAUAUUUUGAAAUGUAGUUACAUGGUGAUUCAUUAUGUUUUUCAGAAUCUCCAACCAAACUCAGUCUCUCCAGAGAUCAGUUUCUCCUGUACCCAGUCAACUGUCCAUGAAGAGCGACUUCUCUAUGGAUCAUCAAAUAUAUUUUAGUAAUGGAUCAGGGACCUUUGACCCCAGAAUCUCCAAGCAAACUCAGUCUCUCCAGAGAUCAGUCUCUCCAGUACCCAGUCAUCUGUCCAUGAAGAGCGACUUCUCUAUGGAUCAUCCUAUACAUUUUAGUAGUGGAUCACGGACCUUUGACCCCAGAAUCUCCAAGCAAACUCAGUCUCUCCAGAGACCAGUCUCUCCAGUACCCAGUCAUCUAUCCAUGAAGAGUGACUUCUCUAUGGAUCAUCCUAUACAUUUUAGUAAUGGAUCAGAGACCGUUGGAAGCAGAGGCUACUACCACACUCAGACAGCACAGUGUACUGUUCCCAGCUGUCUGUCUAUGAACAGUGACUUCUCCAUGGAUCGUCCUGUUAAUUCCAGUGGUGGAAGAUCAAUCACCUUUGACCGAAGGUACGUCACCAGAUUUUUGUUGUUGUAAUUUCAGAAUGUUCAAGAUGUCAUAUAGCUAUGUUGUUGUAAUUUGUUGUAACUGAGUUUAUUAGAGUAAUUACUGCACCCUCCUAUAUCUCUAGUGGAUGGUCUACUCUGUUAGUGGAUCAGUAUCUCUCUCUCUCUCUCUCUCCUUUAUCUCUGUAUUGGAUGGUCUACUCUGUUAGUGGAUCAGUAUCUCUCUCUCUCCUUUAUCUCUGUAGUGGAUGGUCUACUCUGUUAGAGGAUCAGUCUCUCUCUCUCCUUUAUCUCUGUAGUGGAUGGUCUACUCUGUUAGAGGAUCAGUAUCUCUCUCUCUCCUUUAUCUCUGUAGUGGAUGGUCUACUCUGUUAGAGGAUCAGUAUCUCUCUCUCCUUUAUCUCUGUAGUGGAUGGUCUACUCUGUUAGAGGAUCAGUAUCUCUCUCUCUCCUUUAUUUCUGUAGUGGAUGGCCUACUCUGUUAGAGGAUCAGUAUCUCUCUCUCCUUUAUCUCUGUAGUGGAUGGUCUACUCUGUUAGAGGAUCAGUAUCUCUCUCUCCUUUAUCUCUGUAGUGGAUGGUCUACUCUGUUAGAGGAUCAGUAUCUCUCUCUCCUUUAUCUCUGUAGUGGAUGGUCUACUCUGUUAGAGGAUCAGUAUCUCUCUCUCCUUUAUCUCUGUAGUGGAUGGUCUACUCUGUUAGAGGAUCAGUAUCUCUCUCCUUUAUCUCUGUAGUGGAUGGUCUACUCUGUUAGAGGAUCAGUAUCUCUCUCUCCUUUAUCUCUGUAGUGGAUGG